UAAUCAUUUGUCUGAAUCAUAAAGCGAACUCACCCUCUCCUACUACAAAAUGUGCUUGACCAGCGGUAUCAAUAAACGUUGCAUGCAGGAUUUUAGCAUCCGUCUGAUUUACUGUGAAGGCAAAAGAUGUAUAUGAAGCAUAUGGAUGAUAUACUGUUUUGAAAGAUGCUGUGACUAGAAGUGCUGAAUCACAAGAUGCUGACUCAAAGAAAAGAAUCCCACUUCCUCUCGGAAUCUGCCACCGGCUUCGACUCGAAGAGGAGCUUGAUGGUCCCGACGAUGCAUGGUGCAGCCACCAAAAGCCUGCACAGGGUAAAGCAACGGGUCCCUGGAGACAGCAUCUCCUGAACAUCUUACCUGCACUGCUUCGCUAACGGAUUAGUUGCCUCUGUGUUAUAAUGACGUAACUUAGAUCAGAAACUACAGGAUUAGGUUGAAAGGAAAAAAGUUACCAGGAAAGAGAGAAAUUCACUUCAGAGUGGCAUAGUGAAAAUCUUUUGUUUGUGAAACCUUGUCUAACGCAUAAAUAUGAUACGAUGUAGUUCUGCAGGAACACGUUCUGUUUUUCUGUUCUUUGUUUUAGACUUCAUGAACUGUAUUGUGUUUGUAGACAAUACAUAAUUCAUAGGAU
This 631-nucleotide long non-coding RNA is filed under the name Apteryx rowi (Okarito brown kiwi). RNAcentral describes it as "lncRNA (ENSARWG00000003931.1)". The record is from RNAcentral. Lineage: Eukaryota; Metazoa; Chordata; Aves; Apterygiformes; Apterygidae.